AUGAAAUUUAAAUUAAAAAAAAACUCUUUUCUUUUCUUUUCAUUAUUUUUAUCUCUCUUUUUCCAUUUUCUUCCUUCUUCCUCUCACGUUCUUUCUACUUCUCUUUUUCUUUUCAUUUUUUUCUUUCUCUCUCUUUCUUCAUUUUCUUCUUCCUUCAUUUCUCCAUCUUUCGCCGAAGAUGACUUUAGAUUAGAAAGUUUUUUGAGUCCUUCUGUUUCUUCUGUCUGUUCUUCCGUAGUUCUCUAA
Non-coding RNA from Vicia faba (fava bean), 246 nucleotides. Lineage: Eukaryota; Viridiplantae; Streptophyta; Magnoliopsida; Fabales; Fabaceae. The record is from the annotation of a GenBank genome assembly.